This is an RNA transcript of Homo sapiens (human), 1890 nucleotides long. It is a transcript of the gene named trinucleotide repeat containing 18 pseudogene 1, with no coding region annotated. The transcript has a single exon. The record is from RefSeq and is marked validated. Lineage: Eukaryota; Metazoa; Chordata; Mammalia; Primates; Hominidae.
ACAAUAAGUACAGCUGGAUGCGCAAGAAGGAGGAGCGGAUGUACCCCAUGAAGUCCUCCGUGGAGGACAUGGACGUCCUGGAACUGGACUUCAGAAUGUGGCGGGCCGAGGUCCAGCACCAGUACAAGGAGAAGCAGCAUGAGCUGGUGAAGCUGCAGCGGCGCCGGGACUCCGAGGACAGGCACGAGGAGUCCCAUGGAAGCUUGGCACGCAGGCCGUGGAAACAGACCCACGCCCCCGAGAGCCCUGUCGCCCGCCCGCAAGAGGGGGAAGAACUGCAACAGUAGCGGAAAGCUGAGCAGCAAAUCUCUGCCGACAUCAGAUGACUAUGAGCUGGGAGCAGGAAUAAGGAAGAGACACAAAGGGCCCAAGGAGGAACACAAUGCCCUUAUUGGAACAGGGAAAGCCAGGGAGAGGAACCAGACUUGGGAUGAACACGAGGCUUCGUCUAAGUUCAUAAGUCAGCUGAAGAUUAAGAAGAAGAAGAUGGACAGCGACCAGGAGCAGUUGGCAAGCAAGCUCGACAAAGGCCCUCUCCCUCACCAAGCAGGACAAGUUGAAGUCACCCUUCAAGUUUUCAGACAGUGCUGGGGGGAAAUCAAAAACUGGCAGGGGCUGCAGCAAGUACUUAACUCCUUAUGACAGCCUGCUGGGCAAGGACAGGAAGGUGCUGGCCAAGGGCCUCCGGCCUGUCUCUGAAAUCUUCCAGAGAAGGUAAACACAAAAGGGCCGCCAAAGCCAGGAAGAUAGGGGUGGGGUUCAAGGCCAGAGGCCAGCCCAAGUCGGCCCAUUCCGCGUUUGCCUCCGAAGUGAGCAGCUACUCUUACAAUACAGACUCAGAGGAAGACGAAGAAUUCCUGAAGGAGAGUGGCCCGCCCAAGGCCCCUCCGGCUAGCUCCAAACUGAUGCCUUCCCUCCUGUGUGGCAUGGUGGCAAAGGACAGCAAGGCAGCUGGCGGCCCCUAGCUGACCAAGAGGGCCUGGCACACACCCCCUCCUCCGCCCCCUCCCGGACUCUGAAACCUAAGCCAGCCACCAGCAGGAAGCAGUGGUUUUGUUUGCUGCUUCGAGAGGCUAAGGUGCAUUCCUCCUUCAGCGACUCUUCGGAAGAUUCAUUUGACUAAGGUUACUAUCUCCAAACACAAAAUACUUUCUGUGUUUCCUAGCGAGAGAGUGCCUGCGAGUGAGCGAGAAGGAAGCGAGUGGGCGCACGGGAGAGAUGGGGGGUGAGGAGGCCCGUGCGGAUGGCCGCAGGAAGGCCGCCAUCUGGGUUCUUGGCAGUGUAGCCUGCUGUAUCGGCCAAAUUAUUUUUAUUUUUGCUUUGAUUUGUACUGUAUCGUUGUGAUAAUAUCGCCGGCUAGCUCUUUUUGAGCUGUUAUAUGGACUGCUUCUGAGUCUGCAUUUUUCUCCACUUUCCUUCCUCUCCGCCCUCCUCCCCCUACCCCGAGUUCCUCCCCACCCCCAUACUCACCUUUUCUGCCCACCCAGAGACCCCAGGCUGUGGUCAGGCUCUCUUUGGGCACGGGCCCAGUGGGGGCUUCCCGAGAAACAUUUUAUAAAUGGAAUUCUGUCAUGUGGGCGUGUGACUUGAUGUUUGUACUGCGAUUUUGAUAAUACCAAACUUUAUUAAACAUACUGAGUUCAUUUUUAACAACAACAAUAAAACAAAAAGUGGAGGUGAUAAAAAUGGUUGCAAAUUCCUGGGGAGUAGGUAUUGAUAAAGAGGUCAAAGGCUCACAAAGGCACUCUUUUUAAAGCCUCUGUUUUAAUACACUCAUGUAACUGUUUACUCAGAUCAAAAGAUAGAACGUGCUAGCAACCUGGAAGUGCCCCUUGUGCCCCUUUCAUAUCACUGUCCAUCCAACCAUGGUUAAUAAAUCUCCAGACUUCU